RNAcentral lists this ribosomal RNA (422 nucleotides) under uncultured bacterium. RNAcentral's name for it is "partial 16S ribosomal RNA". It matches the Rfam family "Bacterial small subunit ribosomal RNA", at positions 362 to 776 of the family's 1533-position model. The record is from RNAcentral.
UAUUGGACAAUGGGCGAAAGCCUGAUCCAGCCAUGCCGCGUGUGUGAAGAAGGUCUUCGGAUUGUAAAGCACUUUAGGUGGGGAGGAAGGGUUGUAGAUUAAUAGUCUGCAAUUUUGACGUUACCGACAGCAUAAGCACCGGCUAACUCUGUGCCAGCAGCCGCGGUAAUACGAAGGGUGCAAGCGUUAAUCGGAAUUACUGGGCGUAAAACGCGCGUAGGUGGUUCGUUAAGUUGGAUGUGAAAGCCCCAGGCUCAACCUGGGAACUGCAUCCAAAACUGGCGAGCUAGAGGACGGUAGAGGGUGGUGGAAUUUCCUGUGUAGCGGUGAAAUGCGUAGAUAUAGGAAGGAACACCAGUGGCGAAGGCGACCACCUGGACUGAUACUGACACUGAGGUGCGAAAGCGUGGGGAGCAAACAGG